Molecule: ribosomal RNA, 167 nt
Filed under: Spiraea chamaedryfolia
Lineage: Eukaryota; Viridiplantae; Streptophyta; Magnoliopsida; Rosales; Rosaceae
Also listed under: 1 other name
Description: 5.8S ribosomal RNA
Rfam family: 5.8S ribosomal RNA
About the family: 5.8S ribosomal RNA (5.8S rRNA) is a component of the large subunit of the eukaryotic ribosome.
Source: RNAcentral
AAAACGACUCUCGGCAACGGAUAUCUCGGCUCUCGCAUCGAUGAAGAACGUAGCGAAAUGCGAUACUUGGUGUGAAUUGCAGAAUCCCGUGAACCAUCGAGUCUUUGAACGCAAGUUGCGCCCGAAGCCUUCUGGCCGAGGGCACGCCUGCCUGGGCGUCACACGCC